GUGAGGAAUUUUGCGCAAUGGCCGCAAGGCUGACGCAGCAACGCCGCGUGGGUGAAGAAGGCCUUCGGGUCGUAAAGCCCUGUCAGGUGGGAAGAAAGGUCUUGAGAAGAAACGCUUGGGAUUUGACGGUACCACCAGAGGAAGCACCGGCUAACUCCGUGCCAGCAGCCGCGGUAAUACGGAGGGUGCGAGCGUUAUUCGGAAUUAUUGGGCGUAAAGCGCGUGUAGGCGGGGGAGCAAGUCUGAUGUGAAAGCCCCGGGCUUAACCUGGGAAGUGCAUUGGAAACUGUUUUUCUUGAGUACUGGAGAGGAAGGGGGAAUUCCCGGUGUAGAGGUGAAAUUCGUAGAGAUCGGGAGGAAUACCAGUGGCGUAGGCGCCUUUCUGGACGGUUACUGACGCUGAGACGCGAAAGCGUGGGGAGCAAACAGGAUUAGAUACCCGAGUAGUCC
RNAcentral lists this ribosomal RNA (450 nucleotides) under uncultured bacterium. RNAcentral describes it as "bacterial SSU rRNA". It matches the Rfam family "Bacterial small subunit ribosomal RNA", at positions 354 to 796 of the family's 1533-position model. The record is from RNAcentral.